GACGAACGCUUGCGGCGUGCUUAACACAUGCAAGUCGAACGGAAAGGCCCUGCUUUUGUGGGGUGCUCGAGUGGCGAACGGGUGAGUAACACGUGAGUAACCUGCCCUUGACUUUGGGAUAACUUCAGGAAACUGGGGCUAAUACCGGAUAGGAGCUCCUGCUGCGUGGUGGGGGUUGGAAAGUUUCGGCGGUUGGGGAUGGACUCGCGGCUUAUCAGCUUGUUGGUGGGGUAGUGGCUUACCAAGGCUUUGACGGGUGGCCGGCCUGAGAGGGUGACCGGCCACAUUGGGACUGAGAUACGGCCCAGACUCCUACGGGAGGCAGCAGUGGGGAAUAUUGCACAAUGGGCGGAAGCCUGAUGCAGCAACGCCGCGUGCGGGAUGACGGCCUUCGGGUUGUAAACCGCUUUCGCCUGUGACGAAGCGUGAGUGACGGUAAUGGGUAAAGAAGCACCGGCUAACUACGUGCCAGCAGCCGCGGUGAUACGUAGGGUGCGAGCGUUGUCCGGAUUUAUUGGGCGUAAAGGGCUCGUAGGUGGUUGAUCGCGUCGGAAGUGUAAUCUUGGGGCUUAACCCUGAGCGUGCUUUCGAUACGGGUUGACUUGAGGAAGGUAGGGGAGAAUGGAAUUCCUGGUGGAGCGGUGGAGUGCGCAGAUAUCAGGAGGAACACCAGUGGCGAAGGCGGUUCCCUGGGCCUUUCCUGACGCUGAGGAGCGAAAGCGUGGGGAGCGAACAGGCUUAGAUACCCUGGUAGUCCACGCUGUAAACGGUGGGUACUAGGUGUGGGGUCCAUUCCACGGGUUCCGUGCCGUAGCUAACGCUUUAAGUACCCCGCCUGGGGAGUACGGCCGCAAGGCUAAGACUCAAAGGAAUUGACGGGGCCCCGCACAAGCGGCGGAGCAUGCGGAUUAAUUCGAUGCAACGCGUAGAACCUUACCUGGGUUUGACAUGGAUCGGGAGUGCUCAGAGAUGGGUGUGCCUCUUUUGGGGUCGGUUCACAGGUGGUGCAUGGCUGUCGUCAGCUCGUGUCGUGAGACGUUGGGUUAAGUCCCGCAACGAGCGCAACCCUUGUUCACUGUUGCCAGCACGUUAUGGUGGGGACUCAGUGGAGACCGCCGGGGUCAACUCGGAGGAAGGUGGGGAUGACGUCAAGUCAUCAUGCCCCUUAUGUCCAGGGCUUCACGCAUGCUACAAUGGACGGUACAAAGAGCUGCAAGACCGCGAGGUGGAGCUAAUCUCAUAAAACCGUUCUCAGUUCGGAUUGUAGGCUGCAACUCGCCUACAUGAAGCUGGAAUCGCUAGUAAUCGCGGAUCAGCAUGCCGCGGUGAAUACGUUCCCGGGCCU
This 1345-nucleotide ribosomal RNA is filed under the name uncultured bacterium. Its description in RNAcentral is "bacterial SSU rRNA". It matches the Rfam family "Bacterial small subunit ribosomal RNA", at positions 28 to 1381 of the family's 1533-position model. The record is from RNAcentral.